Molecule: ribosomal RNA, 486 nt
Filed under: uncultured bacterium
Lineage: Bacteria
Description: partial 16S ribosomal RNA
Rfam family: Bacterial small subunit ribosomal RNA
Source: RNAcentral
AUUGAACGCUGGCGGCAUGCCUUACACAUGCAAGUCGAACGGCAGCACGGGUGCUUGCACCUGGUGGCGAGUGGCGAACGGGUGAGUAAUACAUCUGAACAUGUCCCGUAGUGGGGGAUAGCCCGGCGAAAGCCGGAUUAAUACCGCAUACGAUCUACGGAUGAAAGCGGGGGCCCUUCGGGCCUCGCGCUUUCGGGUUGGCCGAUGGCUGAUUAGCUAGUUGGUGGGGUAAAGGCCUACCAAGGCGACGAUCAGUAGCUGGUCUGAGAGGACGACAAGCCACACUGGAACUGAGACACGGCCCAGACUCCUACGGGAGGCAGCAGUGGGGAAUUUUGGACAAUGGGCGAAAGCCUGAUCCAGCAAUGCCGCGUGUGUGAAGAAGGCCUUCGGGUUGUAAAGCUCUUUUGUCCGGAAAGAAAUCCUUGGCCCUAAUACAGUCGGGUGAUGACGGUACCGAAAGAAUAAGCACCGGCUAACUACGUG